This 84-nucleotide transfer RNA is filed under the name Bacteroidota bacterium. RNAcentral describes it as "tRNA-Leu". It matches the Rfam family "tRNA". From Rfam's summary of the family: Transfer RNA (tRNA) molecules are approximately 80 nucleotides in length. Their secondary structure includes four short double-helical elements and three loops (D, anti-codon, and T loops). Lineage: Bacteria; Pseudomonadati; Bacteroidota. RNAcentral also lists the same sequence under 2 other names. The record is from RNAcentral.
GCCAAAGUGGCGGAAUUGGUAGACGCGCUGGACUCAAAAUCCAGUGAUAGCAAUAUCGUGCGGGUUCGAUUCCCGCCUUUGGUA